Molecule: unclassified non-coding RNA, 1028 nt
Filed under: Hevea brasiliensis (rubber tree)
Lineage: Eukaryota; Viridiplantae; Streptophyta; Magnoliopsida; Malpighiales; Euphorbiaceae
Source: RNAcentral
UGCAAACAGAGUCUAAAAACCCCAAAACUGAAAAAAUUUGUGUUUUGGUUGCUGAUACAGUUGUUAUUGGUCAAAAUGCUCCAGAAGUGGUGACUUCUAUGAGUUCUAAAGCCGUAAAAGAUGUGGCUUACUCAUUCAACGAGGAUGAAGAAGAAGAGGAGGAGCAGCCGAAGGUCAAAGCUAAGCCUGUUGCUGCCAAUGGACUCUCAUCCAAGGCUACACUUAGAUCAGUUAACCACGAGACAUCAAGGGAGGAACUAAGACGGCAACACCAGGCAGAAUUGGCCCGCCAAAAGAACGAAGAAACUGCACGAAGGCUCACAGGAGGAAGUUCUGGGGGUGCAGAUAGCCGUGGUUCUGCGAAAGCCACUGGAGAUUUGCUUGCAUAUAAGAACAUUAAUGAUCUGCCACCUCCAAGAGAAUUGAUGAUUCAGGUUGACCAGCGGAGUGAGGCUAUUCUUUUACCUAUUCAUGGUACCAUGAUUCCAUUCCAUAUUGCCACCGUGAAAAGUGUAUCUAGUCAACAAGAUACUAACCGUACCUGCUAUAUCCGAAUAAUGUUCAAUGUUCCUGGCACUCCAUUCACUCCUCAUGACACAAAUACUCUAAAGUUCCAGGGAUCAAUAUAUGUUAAAGAAGUUUCAUUUCGUUCCAAGGACCCAAGGCACAUCACUGAAGUGGUUCAACAAAUAAGAACCCUCCGCAGGCAGGUUGUCUCUAGAGAAUCAGAGAGAGCUGAGAGAGCAACUUUAGUAACACAAGAGAAACUUCAAGUUGCUGGAGCCAAAUUUAAACCAAUCAAGUUGUCAGAUCUGUGGAUUCGUCCAGUAUUUGGUGGUCGCGGGAGAAAGCUUCCUGGUACUCUAGAGGCUCACACAAAUGGAUUCCGGUAUGGAACUUCAAGGCCAGAUGAGAGAGUGGAUGUUAUGUAUGGUAACAUCAAACACGCAUUCUUCCAGCCAGCAGAAAAGGAGAUGAUUACAGUCCUCCACUUUCACCUGCACAAUCACAUAAUGGUGGGGAACAAG